GACGAGGUGGCCGAGUGGUUAAGGCGUUGGACUGCUAAUCCAAUGGGCUCUGCCCGCGUGAGUUCGAAUCUCAUCCUCGUCG
This is a non-coding RNA of Punica granatum (pomegranate), 82 nucleotides long. NCBI's taxonomy places the organism in Eukaryota, Viridiplantae, Streptophyta, Magnoliopsida, Myrtales, Lythraceae. The record is from Rfam.